This is a long non-coding RNA of Aegilops tauschii subsp. strangulata, 202 nucleotides long. RefSeq lists it as uncharacterized. The record is from RefSeq and is a predicted model, not a curated record. Lineage: Eukaryota; Viridiplantae; Streptophyta; Magnoliopsida; Poales; Poaceae.
GGGAGGAGGUGGAGUCCAGUAUCACGAACCAACACUGUCAAUGUUGGAUCUCCUCCGGGCUUAUUGGUGCCGCUGGGCAGAUAGGACGAUGGAGUCUGGUAGUGUGUCGAAUUUGCUUCGACUGUGUUUAGCUGAAAGGCAAAUGCACUUGGUGAGUUGGUGAUGAUAAGCUCAAUCAGCAAGAGGAAAUCAAGUUUUAACA